Myripristis murdjan (pinecone soldierfish) is the source of this 475-nucleotide long non-coding RNA. RefSeq lists it as uncharacterized. The record is from RefSeq and is a predicted model, not a curated record. The transcript is spliced from 3 exons. NCBI's taxonomy places the organism in Eukaryota, Metazoa, Chordata, Actinopteri, Holocentriformes, Holocentridae.
GCUUCUCUCCUCUCGAGCGCUUUUACGGUUUGAAACUCCAAACUCUGUCAGCCUUUCAGGUAAAACGCUUCCGGUUCCUCCGCCCGUCGCGAGGCUCCGCGAGCCCAACAGCUUCCGGUGUCGGUCGGGUUGUUUUGAUGGUCACGGACGGAGCACAAACAAACAAACAAACAAACAACACAACACAACAGCCGACAGAGAGCCGAACCGAUCAGCCGAUCAGUGAUCGAUCAGGCGGCCAGGUGCCGAGAGCAGCAGAUGGAGCCGAGGCCCCGACACACUGAUGAUGAUGAUGAUGAUCACAGAGAUGAAGAUGAAGACAUGAGUCGCCCUCCCAGAUCAGGACGUCCCGACGAACACGAGCACUUCUACGACUGCCAGGAGACACUGGAGCCGCCGCACCUCCUCACCUCCUCUGCUCCUCCUCCUCCUGCUGCUGCUGCUCCUCUACAGGAGGAGGAGAGGAGAACAGGAG